AAGGAUCAUUAUUGAAAUAAACCUGAUGGGUUGUUGCUGGCUCUCUAGGGAGCAUGUGCACGCCUUGUCAUCUUUAUAUCUCCACCUGUGCACUUUUUGUAGACCUGAAAAGGUCUAUGUUGCUUCAUUUUACCCCAAUGUAUGUCUAUAGAAUGUUGUGCCUAUGAUAAUAUAUACAACUUUCAGCAACGGAUCUCUUGGCUCUCGCAUCGAUGAAGAACGCAGCGAAAUGCGAUAAGUAAUGUGAAUUGCAGAAUUCAGUGAAUCAUCGAAUCUUUGAACGCACCUUGCGCUCCUUGGUAUUCCGAGGAGCAUGCCUGUUUGAGUGUCAUUAAUAUAAUCAACCUUCAACUUGUUUGAGUGGUUUGGAUGUGGGGGUUUGCUGGCCUCUCAAAAGGUUUCAGCUCCUCUGAAAUGCAUUAGCAGAACAAACCUUGUUCAUUGGUGUGAUAACUAUCUACGCUUAUGAAUGUGAGGGGCAGUUCAGCUUUCUAAUCGUCUUUGGACAAUUCAUCAUUAAUGUGACCUCAAAUCAGGUAGGACUACCCGCUGAACUUAAGCAUAUCAAUAAGCGGAGGAAAAGAAACUAACAAGGAUUCCCCUAGUAACUGCGAGUGAAGCGGGAAAAGCUCAAAUUUAAAA
RNAcentral lists this ribosomal RNA (642 nucleotides) under Cortinarius sp. DB-2012d. RNAcentral describes it as "eukaryotic LSU rRNA". The stretch from base 178 to 331 matches the Rfam family "5.8S ribosomal RNA". Lineage: Eukaryota; Fungi; Basidiomycota; Agaricomycetes; Agaricales; Cortinariaceae. The record is from RNAcentral.